Molecule: ribosomal RNA, 492 nt
Filed under: Barbatia decussata
Lineage: Eukaryota; Metazoa; Mollusca; Bivalvia; Arcoida; Arcidae
Description: partial small subunit ribosomal RNA
Rfam family: Microsporidia small subunit ribosomal RNA
Source: RNAcentral
GAAAGAAAGUAAUGGAAAACUAUAGGUGAAAUUUUGUUUUCUUUAAUGUUCUUGUGGGGGUGAGCCGUGUAACCGAAGUGAGGGACCAGGAUUAGAUACCCUGUUACCGUCGGCGUAAAGUAUGGAUUCCUGCUGGGCAACUACGUCUUAACAGAUAAAAGUCGAAGUGUUUGGCGGUUCAAGAUACCGGCCCCGUGGGACUUGACGGUUAAUCUGAUGAUCCGCAUUAUCCCCUACUUAUUCUUAAGCUGGUGUAUGGUCGUCGUAAGUUUACGUUGUAAGACUGUAGGCCAGAGCCAACUUGGUUGGGUGAAGUCAGAUCGUUAUGCCGCCAUGAAUAAGGCUUAGUUGAGUCACAUUUAUUAGAUUUCGGAAUGCUUGUAGAAAUACGAGCAGGAAGGAGGAAUGGGAAGUAAGAAGAAAAUAGUUCGUUCUUCUGAAUGGGGAUCAUUUUGAGUGUACAAAUCGCCCGUCGUUUCCGAAUUUUGGAAU